UUGGAGGGCAAGUCUGGUGCCAGCAGCCGCGGUAAUUCCAGCUCCAAUAGCGUAUAUUAAAGUUGUUGCAGUUAAAAAGCUCGUAGUUGAAUUUCGGGGUCAAUAAGUUGGUCGUGCCAAUGGUAUGCACUGGCUUUAUUGAUUCCUACCUCUUGACGAACUGUGAUGCCAUUAAUUUGGUGUCGCAAGGAAUCAGGACUGUUACCUUGAAAAAAUUAGAGUGUUUAAAGCAGGCUUACGCUUGAAUACAUUAGCAUGGAAUAAUGAAAUAGGACGUUUGAACCUAUUUUGUUGGUUUCUAGGAUCGACGUAAUGAUUAAUAGGGAUAGUUGGGGGCAUUAGUAUUCAAUUGUCAGAGGUGAAAUUCUUGGAUUUAUUGAAGACUAACUACUGCGAAAGCAUUUGCCAAGGAUGUUUUCAUUAAUCAAGAACGAAAGUUAGGGGAUCGAAGACGAUCAGAUACCGUCGUAGUCUUAACCAUAAACUAUGCCGACUAGGGAUCGGAUGAUGUUAAUUUUUUAAUGACUCAUUCGGCGCCUUACGGGAAACCAAAGUGUUUGGGUUC
RNAcentral lists this ribosomal RNA (565 nucleotides) under uncultured Glomeromycotina. RNAcentral's name for it is "SSU rRNA". It matches the Rfam family "Eukaryotic small subunit ribosomal RNA", at positions 548 to 1114 of the family's 1831-position model. The record is from RNAcentral. Lineage: Eukaryota; Fungi; Glomeromycota.